UUCGUCGGUGCGGUGGGACUGAAAAGGAGUGGGAAGCCCAGCGAGCCGUGAAGAAAAGGAAGAGAGAGCCCUCAGAUCCCUUCGCCCUUUCCCUCCGCACUCGACGAGAGAUGGAGUACCGAAAAACCAAAGAUCAGGAAAACUAUGAGGAUGCAUCUCAAAAGGAUAUAGAGAGUCUACGUUGGACGCCUCUUUCUGGUGUGGUAACUAACAGCAUGCCUAGCUCUGUAGGUGGCUCAAACAAGUCUAGUUGGAAGCUAAAGUCAAUUGUUACACUUGCAUUAACAUUGCUGACGAGUUCACAGGCAAUACUGAUUGUGUGGUCCAAAAGAGCUGGAAAGUAUGAAUACAGUGUGACAACAGCAAACUUUUCGGUGGAGGCUUUAAAAUGUGCAUUGUCACUUUCAGCCCUUGCUAGAAUCUGGAAAAGUCAAGGUGUCACGGAAGACAACAAGUUAAGUACAUCUUUUGACGAAGUUAGUGUUUAUCCUAUUCCUGCAAUACUUUACCUCAUUAAGAACUUACUACAGUAUUACAUCUUUGCAUAUGUGGACGCCCCUGCUUACCAGAUAUUGAAGAACCUAAACAUUAUCAGCACCGGUGUGUUAUACCGAAUCAUCCUAAAGAAGAAGUUAAGUGAAAUCCAGUGGGCAGCUUUUAUUCUUUUAUGUGCAGGGUGCACAACAGCUCAACUCAACCCUUCUUCUGAUCAUGUUCUUCAGACUCCUUUACCAGGUUGGGUGAUGGCCAUUGUCAUGGCACUUCUAAGUGGCUUUGCUGGGGUAUACACAGAGGCUAUUAUUAAAAAGCGCCCUUCAAGAAAUAUUAAUGUGCAGAACUUCUGGCUGUACAUCUUUGGAAUGGUUUUUAAUCUGAUUGCAAUUUGCAUUCAGGAUUAUGAUGAAGUCAUGAACAAAGGUUUCUUUCAUGGCUAUUCAUUUAUCACAGUUUGCAUGAUCGUCAAUCACGCACUCAGUGGCAUUGCUGUAUCAAUGGUUAUGAAGUAUGCCGAUAACAUUGUUAAGGUAAAAAACAUUGGAAGCUGCUUUCUAUUAUGUAUCAGGUCUAUUCAACUUCAGUAGCAAUGCUUCUGACAGCUGUUGUAUCAGUGUUUCUUUUUGGCUUCCAUCUUUCCCUUGCCUUCUUUCUUGGAUCUACGGUUGUUUCGAUCUCAAUAUAUCUACACUCUAUUGGGAAGCCACAACCACAAAAAUGAGGUUUUUUGCACAGAUUUUGGUGGUUGAACGGAACUCUUUCUACCUCAUCCUAAAUAUCCUUAUCUUGGUAGAACUGGGAUUUGUUUCAGAAGGCCAAACAAGCAUUACAGAAGCUGUUGAUGCUAAUGGAAGUGUCAUCACACCCAUAUAAUCAAUUCUAGACCUCCCUUUGUAUCAAUUCUUAAUGCAUCAAAGUAAUCGGUACAAGUGGUCUGGAAGAAAGCUGGACUUUUAAGUCCUUAUAUUCUUGCAAAUGUGCUGCCUAAGUGCUGGUUCGUUUCAGGCUCUUGGCCCUUGAUAUUCCUCCGCUGUUUCAUGACACUCAGAACCACUGUCUUGGAAAUUUAAUUAGACAAAAGAAGGCAAUGCCUGCAUAGUCCUGUAUAUGGAUUCUUUAAGUGCUGUGUGAUUGUGUCAAAAUUUACUGUACUCAGAAUAUAAUGACGCUCAUUCUUUUGGACCCCAACGUGGUGAGUGCAAAUGAAUUCACCAUAUUUUACCAUAUAGAAAUUGUUACGACUCUCAA
Phoenix dactylifera (date palm) is the source of this 1743-nucleotide RNA transcript. It is a transcript of the gene named CMP-sialic acid transporter 2, with no coding region annotated. Lineage: Eukaryota; Viridiplantae; Streptophyta; Magnoliopsida; Arecales; Arecaceae. The record is from RefSeq and is a predicted model, not a curated record.